This is a long non-coding RNA of Oryctolagus cuniculus (rabbit), 2560 nucleotides long. RefSeq lists it as uncharacterized. NCBI's taxonomy places the organism in Eukaryota, Metazoa, Chordata, Mammalia, Lagomorpha, Leporidae. The record is from RefSeq and is a predicted model, not a curated record.
UUAACAGAAUUUUCACUGUAUUUUUGAAGAAAGUUGUUUAGUGGAAGAUUUAGUUGGCUUUCUAUCAGCAGAUUUCAACACUUUUCAUGAGACUUUUUAUACUUGAGAGAAUUGAAAAUGUCAAGACUAAACAUUUUCUAACAUAAUUCUCUCCAACACUUUAAAAAUAUUGCUAAAACAUGUUAAAAAUACCACCAAAAAUGUAAGUUGCAGAUUUCCUUAAAUGGGUUGCAUAUCUCCAUGUGUUUUUAAAAGCAGAUUUAGAUAAAAAUCCUAGAAGACAUGUGAGAGAACUGUUUUGUAAAAUCCUGCUUACGUUUUGUGAGUUGUAAACUGAUAAAAGAAUGGCCUCCCUCAAGAGUCCUUUGUAACACUAGUGUGUGUUCACUUCAUUCUUUCCAAUUCCCUUGUCAUAAUGUGAGAUUUACCUUAAACUUCUAAUAAGUGCCAAGCUUGGGGGACAUAAUCUUUUAGGAAGUUACUUUUGUUGGUCUUCUCUGAAGUCUCCCCAGUGACUGUUUUCUUUCUUAAAAAUUAGACCCAAGGCUUGCUGGAGCGCAGGAAAAGUUAAGUUUCCAGUCUCCCACGGCAAUUUCAGUCUCCUAUAAACACCUCUUAUGGAAGAACAUUUUUUCGCCUAGACAAAGGCAAUUUCUGUAGUUUCAUCCAGCCCCAGUGAAAUGCAUCUCCCCCACCCCUUUUGGCUCCACUUAUUGGGAACGAAAGCUUACACUUGGGACUGAGAACUGAACGGCAGUGAUGUGUAAGGACUUCUUACUACCCGGUGCUCAGCCGCUGCGACCGCACAAGUAAAUAGAUCAAGUUUUCACCCAGCGACCACCAAGUGUCGGUCCGUGGGCAGGAACCUGAUGGAGGUGGCCGCCUUCUAGAGUCAAGAGGUCACGCCCGCCGACCCCACUCGGGAGGGCAGCUGGUCCUGGGGCCGCACCGCGGGCUGCCCCUGGACCCCUUUCGGCCUUCGCUGCCCAGGGGCUGUUCGGCCCCUCAAGGCAAGGAGUUCCCUGGCACUCGCAAGAGGCGAGGCUCCCGGAACCCCAGGCUCUCCUCGCCCAGAACUAGCGGCCAAGGAAGAAGUCCCAUUUAGGAACCUGCCGCGCCGCCAGAGCCGGAGGAGCCACUCGGCGUUUGGGGUCACCUCGGAGAAAGAAAUUUGUUAAAAGAAAAAAAAAAAAAAAAGAAAAAAGAAACAUAAAAGAGCGCGGCUGGCGGUGGCGGAGCGGGCAGAAUGAAGCUUCCAGAAACGCCCGCUUGUGCCGCGCUGGUUUCUAAGCUCGACCUGAGGAAGAUAAACGGGUGCCCCCAAGAGAACUCGGCAGGCAGAGUGGACGCCCGAGGAGAAAUAAAAGUGAUGCGAGGGAACUCCCCAGGCCCUCGCAGGAGGAAGGAGCGCGGGGCGCGCGGGACGCACCCGCGGGGCCGCCGCACGCUCGUCGGCUCCCGUAGCGCGGACGGAGAGAAGGACAGGCGGACGCGCGAGCCGGCGCGACGGACUCACCUUCGGGGUUGGCGCUGAUGAAGACCCGCACACUGCGGCCCGCGGGCACGAGAUCCCUGCAGAUGUGCCUGGAAAAACAGCAGAAGAUGGCCCAAGUGCUUGCAUCCCUGGAAUCCAUUUGGAAGACUGAGAUGGAGUUCUGGGAUCUUGGUUUCAGCCUGACCCAGCCUAGACCUUCGCAGCCAUUUGGGUUGUGAAUCAGUGGAUGGAAGAUAUCUCUCUCUCUCUCUCUCUCUCUCUCUCUCUCUCUCUCUCGUUAUCUCUACCUUUUAAAUAAAUAAAUAAAUCUUAAAAUGUAUACAUAUAAAAUUAUGGACAAAUGGUUUUUCCCCCAUAAAAUAAGUGUAGUGCCACUUUUUGUCCUAAAAGUAUGUAUUAGCAUCUACAUAUUAUGAAACAUUGUAUACAAAAAUUUUAAAGAUACUAAGUGCAUAUCUGCAUUAGUCAAGAAUCUAGAGGUAAAUAACCAGAGCUACAACAUGAUUUCUUUUCAGAAUAUAGGAGUUUAUACAAACAUCUAGACAGAAAUGAAAUUGAACUUAAAGGAAAACUAGAACUAGGAAUUGGACAUGUCUUUGGGAAAAAGAACAAUGUUGUAUUUCAGUGUCUUAUUUCUGACUCUGAGCAUUAUGGACAUUGUGUGUGUGCAUGAAACAUUCCUGCUGUCACACAACUUUUACAUUUGAUACUCAUAAUUAAGUUAUAGCCAGCCCGUGGCUCAGGCCACAUGGAAAGACUGACCAAUUUUUUUCUUGAAAUAUUUAUAUGAGUUAGCAGACAGAACAAGUAAUUGAGUAAGUACAGUUUGUGUUGAUUUUGAGCUGGAAUAUACUUCGUAUUAGCAAGAACCUCAUAGUGUUUACUCAUCCAAACUGAUAUUUCUUUGGAAAUAUUUCUGUAAUUCUUUCCUUGCACUUAAGCAACUUGCCAUAUUAUAGUUAAGGGGAGUAGAACUAAGUAGGAAGGAGUACAUCAAAAUAGAAUUUUUCUGCUUUCUCUGAUUUUGUUAAUAUGGAUAAGACAAUAAAAUUUACUAAACAUGCA